RNAcentral lists this ribosomal RNA (510 nucleotides) under uncultured bacterium. RNAcentral's name for it is "partial 16S ribosomal RNA". It matches the Rfam family "Bacterial small subunit ribosomal RNA", at positions 28 to 507 of the family's 1533-position model. The record is from RNAcentral.
GACGAACGCUGGCGGCGUGCUUAACACAUGCAAGUCGAACGAAGAGCGAUGGAAGCUUGCUUCUAUCAAUCUUAGUGGCGAACGGGUGAGUAACGCGUAAUCAACCUGCCCUUCAGAGGGGGACAACAGUUGGAAACGACUGCUAAUACCGCAUACGAUCUAAUCUCGGCAUCGAGGAUAGAUGAAAGGUGGCCUCUACAUGUAAGCCAUCACUGAAGGAGGGGAUUGCGUCUGAUCAGCUAGUUGGAGGGGUAACGGCCCACCAAGGCGAUGAUCAGUAGCCGGUCUGAGAGGAUGAACGGCCACACUGGGACUGAGACACGGCCCAGACUCCUACGGGAGGCAGCAGUGGGGAAUCUUCCGCAAUGGACGAAAGUCUGACGGAGCAACGACGCGUGAGUGAUGACGGCCUUCGGGUCGUAAAGCUCUGUUAAUCGGGACGAAAGGACUUCUUGCGAAUAGGGAGAAGGAUUGACGGUACCGGAAUAGAAAGCCACGGCUAACUACGUG